AUAUUGGUUCGUUAAAAGAACUGAGUUGUCCGAUUUACACUAGAGAUGGAUCAUUCGUCAAAACACAUCGUCUGUCAGACGGAUCAUUCGGUCAUAUGUUGCACGAUCCAAUAUUUGCUGCAACUUGCAACGCAGUUUCUGCCACAGAAGAGCCUUAAUUGCUAGCUAUAAAAGAUUGGAAAUUUCUGAGCAUGGUCCACGGUUUACUCCGUUGACAUUUUACAUCCCGUUUCUUUCAUUUUCAUCCUUUAGAAUAUGUUAUGUGUAAUUCAUGAGGAAAAAACAAAAAAAAUCAUAAGCAUGUCACGUAUCUUUAUAUGUGAUAAAGAUUUCCCUUGAUUUACAUAAACUUUAACUUUGAUUUAUUUGACUUACACAACGUAUUUUUUUGAAAAUUACUUCGCCAAUGAACUUAUAAGAUCGAUCGUUUUUGAAGCAACUUAAAACAUUCGCAGUGCGUGUUCUAUCAGACCUAAAGAUACUCGGCUUCGUCUGGUAUCUUUGUAUCUGAUAAAACACUGCUGUACAUGCUUUAAAUAGUGCAUAAAGUUUCGGCAGAGUAGUGUGCGGGCCAUGUUCAUUAUUUCUCUGUAACUACGUCUUAGAUAACAUGACUCACUCAUUUGGCUCUGUAUAUCUGAAGUUGCAGCAAACGUUGCCUCGCGUGACAUGACCUUAAAGUUUAGUGUAAACACGAUAGAUAAACCACCCAGACGAAAUAAAAUAUUGCAGGGAAACUGUGAGCAUGGCUCAUCGUUUAACCUGUCAACAUUUUUCAUUAUAUUUCUUUCAAUUUUCAUCCCUUAGUGGUUUUGGGAACAAAUCAUGCCUGAUAUUUUCCUGAUAACUGGUCUAAUGUCGUCGAAAUAUCUUAAUUUUUCCGCUCGCAAAAAUUCGUCCAAAUUUGGCCGUCUCUAGCGUAAAUCGGGUCAUUCGCAUUUAAGAUCCAUUUAACAUAUUCACAUUGGCUAAUUAGUAUAGUAAAGGAACAAGAUUAAAUCACAGUAAAUUUCGAAUAGUAGGGGACUAAUUAUAUAAUCAUAUAGUGCUAAUAGCACGAUAUUAAUUCUACUUUAAGUUUAUAAUUAUCAUAUACUUGCUUUAUUUUAAUCAACAUUUUUCAAUUAUCAGUUUAAAAACUUCGCAUUGCGAAAUGCAAUCAAGGGUUGGUACUUUAUGUAAUCUAAAUUGAAAUGUAGGAACAUGUAAUCCAAAUGAUGUAAUCUUGAUUAAACCAAUUUGUCGAUCAACUGGUGUGCUGAAAUUAUUUAAAAUAAUUCAUGUUUAUCUCAUUACUUUAGUCGAUAGUCCGAGUUUCAUGCAAAUAUUGACCUCACUGAAACAAGAAAAAUGUCAAUGCUUUUAAAUGGUGUCAGUCAUCUAUAGAUAUAUGAAAAUAUAUGUUGAAACUCUAUUAGGCAAAAAAACCCUGGGUUUUUGGUUUCCCGA
Molecule: non-coding RNA, 1449 nt
Organism: Paramuricea clavata
Lineage: Eukaryota; Metazoa; Cnidaria; Anthozoa; Malacalcyonacea; Plexauridae
Source: the annotation of a GenBank genome assembly